Molecule: RNA transcript, 6422 nt
Organism: Sarcophilus harrisii (Tasmanian devil)
Lineage: Eukaryota; Metazoa; Chordata; Mammalia; Dasyuromorphia; Dasyuridae
Gene: CD47
Gene name: CD47 molecule
Exons: 12
Source: RefSeq, a predicted model, not a curated record
AGGAGGAGAAAGAGGAAAAGAAGGAGGAGGAAGAAGAGAAAGAGAAGGAGGGGGGAAGGAAGGAGAGAAUAAGGAGGAGGAGGAAAAGGAGAAGCAGGGCAGGCGCUGGGGAGGCUGCAGUGGUCGCGGCUCUGCGCGAAGAUGUGGCCGUUGGUGGCAGCGCUCCUGCUUGGCACCGUGUGCGGCGGUUCUGCACAGCUGACAUUUAAUUCAACCAGAUUUGUAGAAGAAACUAUUUGCAAUGAAACUGUUGUUCUUCCCUGCAUUGUUAAUAAUCUAGAAAUAAGGAAAAUUGAAGUCAUGUAUGUAAAAUGGAAACACAAAGGAAAAGAAAUUUUUACAUUCAGUGGAGAGCAAAAGAAGCACAAUGCCAGUGAUAAUUUUAAAAGUGCAACAAUUCCAUUUUCACUCUUAGUAGAAGGAAAUGCUUCUUUGCUAAUGAAAAAGAGUGAUGCUAUCCCUGGGAAUUAUAGCUGUGAAGUUACAGAAUCGAACAGAGAAGGAGAAACAACAGUGGAACUAAAGUAUCAUGUGGUUUCAUGGUUUUAUCCAAAAGAAAACAUUCUCAUCGUUAUCUUCCCGAUUUUGGCUAUACUGCUUUCCUGGGGUCAAUUCGGUAUUGUGACACUUAAAUAUAAAUCCAACUGUACAAGUGAGAAAACUAUUGGAUUAAUUAUUGCUGGAUUAGCCCUUACUGUGGUAGUUAUUGUUGGGGCUGUUCUCUUUGUACCAGGUGAAUAUUCAGUAAAGAAUGCUGCUGGACUUGGUUUAAUUGUAAUCCCUACUGUGACAUUAGUGCUACUCCAAUAUUGCGUAUUUAUGACAGCUUUUGGGAUGACUCUCUUUGCCAUUGGUAUAUUGAUUCUGCAGUUAUUGGGUUACAUAUUUGCUGUCAUUGGACUAAGCCUGUGUAUUACAAAAUGUUCUCCUAUGCAGGGCCCUCUCAUGAUUUCAGGCUUGGGUAUCAUUGCCCUUGCAGAAUUGCUCGGUCUAGUUUACAUGAAAUUUGUGGAGUUGAGAGGCACUCCUUCGGUCAAUUGAUGUGCAAGAAGAAAAAAGCUUCCAAUCAGAAGACUAUACCACCGUCUAGGAAAGCUGUAGAGGAACCCCUUAAUGCGUUUAAAGAGUCAAAAGGAAUGAUGAAUGAUGAGUAAUUGAAAAGGAAUGAUGAACUCUAAUUUGGAGGAUAGUAGAUGUGAAUGGAAUAUACUUGUGCUCAGACACCAUGGCCUGGAUUCAUUAUCUGAAGAGAAGAAAAGAAGGAAAUUCACUGGUUUGCAUCUGGGGGGGGGGGGGACCCACCACCACCACCCUUAAACAGUCGCUAUGGUUAAGUUUAUAUUCAAAACAGCUAUAAUUUAAUUAAUUAAAAAAUUUAUGGAGAUGUAUAUUGUAUUGCCCAAUUGAAACUAGUUUUGGGGGAAUCAUAUUGUUCAGUAGGGAUUAAGGUAGAAGUUGUACCUUUCCAGAAUGUUACCUUUAUCAAACUCCAUGUCUUUACUUCCUGUAAUUUGCUGAAUUUUUAAAAUAUUGGUCAAAGGUGAAAUUUACCCUGUACCAGUUGGUGGCUGCUCCAAGACAUCUGUGAAACAUAAAAACCAAUGGUUUCCUUCUAACUUUGAAGAAUAGAAUUCCCAGGAGCAUAUUUCACAGGCAGUGUUUAUUGGGUCACAGAAUAUUUCUGCUACUUCUGGGUCAAGAGAAAUAGAUCUUUUAAAGUCAAGUCAAAGUAUGUUACGUCUUGCAUUGCCACCUAGCAUCUGUCAUAUGUUUAUCUGUGUGGAUAGAGGCCUUCAUUCUGGAGGGAUUACCGCUCUUGCAUCUUCACUAAAUGGGAAAUGCAGUAGUCAGAACCUUCUCUAGAUUUGGGGUGUUAACUAAGGCCCUGCAGCUUAACCUUGUGAUUUUCUCUUGAUGUUUGGUUUUUGUUUUUCUUUGUCCCCACAACCUUUGAAAUCCUGUCUUGUCCUCCUGUUAAUUGCUUCUGUCUUACAAGAUGUUGAGUCUUUCCUCUUCCUUGAACCAGGUUCUGUGACAUACUCCAAUCUAGUUGCUGAAAGGAAUGGAUCUUGUUCCCAGAGCACUGCUUUCCAGUCUUAAUUUUUUGGCAAAAAUAAAAUCAGCAUCCCAAGGGUAUCAUCCAGUGUUAUUUCACUUAGUUUUUGGUCUGGGGCAUGAAAAACCAAGAUUGAGACUUGAGCUUUGAUCUCCUGCAUGGCAGUACAGUCUAGUGCAUCACCAUCAGGCCAGCUUCUCCAGAGGGCCUUUUUUAAAACUAUUGUUGUAUCUAUGUUGCAUGGAAAAACAACUCAUCAACACCAUCCUCUUGUAUUCCCUCCUCAACCUCUCCCUUCUCUAAGACUAAAACCUUAAAAAAACACACACAAAAUCCUUUCCUGCCCUGGUUUGAAGUUUACCAUUAUGGCAGCUGUGAUUGCCUGUACUUUUAGAUUAUUAGCACUCGUUUUUACCUUGUUCAUGUGUCUGUGAGUUGAGGGUGUGUGUCUGUGAGGGUAUGUGUGUCUGUGUGUCUGUGUGUUUGUGUGAUAGGCACAUGCUUGUUUCAUGUGGACAAUUGGGGUGAACACAGAGCAAAUAAUUGAUUUUCUACUUUCAGUAAUAAUUUAAAACAAAGGUAUUUAAUUAGGUAGAACUGAUCAUUAAAAUAAUUUGGUUAUUAAAAAAAAAAAGUCAGUUGUCCAGCUUUGUGCUCAUCAGUACCCUUGAGUACCAGCCAUUUUCCCCAUUUGUAUAAUACAGCAGUCAUAUAUGUGGUUGCAUUGAUGAUAGUUAUUUCUUAGUCCACCGAAUGUUCCCAUGUGCCUCUUUUGUAUGCUAGUUCAAUACUACUCAACUUAAUUUUCAUAUUUCAUGUUGGGACCAAGUGGUUUGUCUUUGACAAACCAAAAUUUAAUGACCUUUUGAUGCCUCAAAAAAAUCAAGAUACUUUUUACAAAGCCAGCUCUAUUUUUCUUUUAUACUUUUGUCAUUUUUCCUUCCCACUCUUUGUGGUGUUAUUCAAAAUAUUGGCUUAAAUAGAGGAGCUAGGUUACAGGAAGUCCAUCAAUUCCUGCCGCUCUUCUUUCCCCUGAAUUAUUUCUACUUUGGGAGUAUAAAGGGGGAAUUCAUGUUGAUAAAACUGAAAAAUAGCUAAAGCAGAUGAAAUUGCAAAAGUUCAAAUCUCUAUUUUUUAAAAGAAUAGCCAGGUAUGAGGAUUUUUCCAAUGAAUUCCUCACUAAACUGCCAUUGUCCUCUUUUUUUUCUUUUUUUUUUAAAUAUAGUGAACUCUCAAUAUUUCAGGGACAGUUAUGCAGGAAGUAUCCUUAUUUUUGUAUUCUCCCUAUUUCUAUCUGCCUUUGGGGCUUUUCACUGCCACCAAAGCAACUCCAUCAGAAAGUGGCAGCCAGAAGAUUGUGAAGAGGAAAUUAAUUGAAUUAGUCAUGUUUCUCUAAGGCAUGUAAUAUAAUGGUUAGCACAUCGGUGCUUAAUAAAUGCUUGCUUACUGAUUCUCGAGCAGCUCUGGAAGAAGUUUGACCAGGGGGAGGACAUUGAAACCACCAGCCAGAGAAGUUUUGUGUUUUUUUUUAAUACCCAUGUAUUAAUUUUUUUACAAAAAAUUCUGUCUUCCUUAGGUUUCCAUAUUGCAUUUAUCACUUAAGUCUUUUUUAUUCCUGCCUCCAUAACAUUGUCUAGAUUUCCUUUCCUCUCUUCAUUCCUAUGUGGUCUUAACCAUAUGACAUUUGAACUACUAAAAUAUACUAAACACCUACCUUGUAUUUGUUAUUCUUAUUAGCAUUUACCAUGUUUCUAUUAUUUUUAUUAAGCACGUUACCCCUUGGAGGAAUCAUGUAGUGGAAUGAGCACUGAACUGAAAUCAUGAGAUCUCAGUUUUAGUCUGCCACUGUGUGACUAUAGGAAAGUGAUUUCCUUGAGCUUCAGAUUUUUUGCUUAUUUGUAAAAUGGGUGGGUGGGGUACAUAAAAAUAUUUGAAAUGAUUUCUGAGUUUUUUAAAUCACCUCUAAUAUAGUUUUACUCAGUUUCCCAGCAGUUUUCUUGGCUAUCUUUAGCUAUUUCCAUUUAUUUGGUCUAUAUACCUCAACAGGAAUCAUAUUUCUUGCUCAUUAUUUUGAUCAAAUUGUUCUUAAACAUCAGUUAUUUUAAUGCUUCAAAAGAUCUAAUAGUUUCUCCAACUCUCUUCACCUAUUAGUUAUUUUUUUUUUUAAUUCUUUGUCCAACCUAUCCUCAUGUACUGAUUUACUAUAUUCUUGGGUACAGUUCUUUCACUCCCUUUUCUAACCUCUAGCAUUUAAGCCCUUACUUAUGAAAUACCUUCCCCCUUUACCAGUCUUCCUCACCUGCCUAUAUACCAUCUUUCUUCUUCAGAUUCAUAAAUUCAUCAUCCCUUUUCUUUAUCUUACUAACAAAAUCCCUAUUUACUUAGUACUUAUGUAUUUAUGUCUAUACAACUAUUUAUGGAUGUACCUUGUUUUAAGUAAAUCCAAUAUAUAGAACUUCAGAAAGUAAAUAUGGAAAUUAUUCCUCUCUAAAGAAGUUCCCUUUUGGUGAAUUCAAAAUAAUUUAGUGGACAUAUCUUUAAGGUGCAGACAGAGCUGCAGCAUUUUAAAUUAUACACACCCAUACAUGCACAUACAUGUUAAGAAUAUUUUUCCUAUAUCUCCCAGUAGAUAUUUCAGGAGAAUAAACAAUCAUUUUCUUUCUUUCUUUCUCCCCAUAGUGCCUAGUUCAAUGCUUUGCACAUAGUAGAUAGUAAUUUGGGUUGGUAAUCAAGAGUUGGCUAUAAUUGAAAUUUUUCCCCCCUCAGACUUAUUAUAAGAGUUUUUUUUCUAUUGACAAGUUUUGUGUUAUGGAAAUCUUAAAAGGUGAUUUUUUUUUUUUUUAACAUGAACGUUUAGGUCAAAUCCAAAAAAAGAAAAAAAUCAUUAGAAUGUUACAACUUUUUAAAAACAAGGGAGCUUUCCUGUCAUUGUGAAGGAAAUGAACAACUCCUUUUAGUAAGAGGCCAAUUUCAAAGCACUUAAAUAAUCCCCUUGAGGUCUGAGAGAGUGGUGGUAGAGUCCCAUCUCAUUCUUUCCAAAUUCUCUUCACUUUUCUAACAAUAACAACAACAAAAAAGAAUUAGUGGUACUUACUGUUGGUCUCUGUGAAAAAAAUGCUACAUAUAUCCACCAUUCAUUCAUCUGUUUGUGAAAACCAGGAAAAAAAUAUGUGUAGGGCAGCUCUAUAUGAUUUUUAUUUGUGUUUUGUUCAGUGUUUUUUUUGUUGUUGUUUUUGCAAUGUCUGCUGUGUUUAUGUGCAUAUUAUAGGGAAAGAUAGCAAAUAGCAAUCAUCUACUAUUCCUCCCAAGCCCAUUUAGAUCCUGAGUUUGGCUGUUCUCAUAUGUCAGUGAAUAUAAUCCAAUUAAUCCAUGGAAGGAGACAGCAAUAAACAGGAAGUUUUUCUGAUGCUAAAAUGUUAGUACCUGCCUUAUAUGGGGGAGCAUGUGCCUGAGGCUCUUGAUCAUAAUAGCUAUAUACUCUGGCUUUAUUUAAAAUGUUUCUCACAAAUUCAGACUUUUCAAAAGAAAAUCACCUUUAAUGGACUUCCUUGUAAGGCAACAGCAGUGGAACCUUAAAGUCUUGUGAUAGGGGUUGGUGAGGACGAGAAGCAGAUUUUUAUUUUUAAUUAAAUGAAGCAUCAUUUACAAAAAGCCAUUGUCAAAAAUUGGAUCCCACGUGUUGUAAAUAUCCAUUAACCAUUCUAAAUGAAGAAAACUUCAGUUUUGCUAUGUACAAAGGCCCUUUUGGGGGCUUUUCUGUAUAGCAAUUAAAGGUGUGCUAUUUGUCAGUAGCCAUUCUUACAGUGAUUUAAAAACCAAAGUUGUUUUACAGCUAUGUUGUUACUGUCAGUUUUUUUUUCCUUUUUCUUUCUCUUUUUUUUUUGUUUUUUGUUUUUAAUAUGUAUUAAAUCAAUUUGUCGCUGUUUGAAGCUUUGAAAAUCUGCAAUCUUUGCCAAGGUAUUUUUUUUAUUUAAAAAAUAACUUUGUAAAUAUUACCCUGUAAUAUUAUAUAUACUUAAUAAAACAUUUUAAGCUGUUUUGGUGAGCUGCCUAUAUUACCGCUGUAGUGGACUACAAAAAUACAAUCAUGUGUAAUUUGAAGGGAUGUGAAUUUUCAAAGAUUUAAAUGUUGAGAACGAGACAGUGAUUGGAGGGGGAGAGUAAUGAUUAUUGAUUUAUAGAUAUCAUUUCAAAAUGUAUGAGGGAGAGUUAAUAACCAAGGUGAAUCUCCGUUCUCAUAAACAUAAUGUAUGUAUUUACUACAUUACCUCAUUAUAGUUGAAUGUGUGAUGCUUAUAUUUGCUGCAUUAUAAAAAUGGCAAUGUUUUUGAUCAUGUUCCUAAAAUAAAGUAUUUUGAAGAUCAAA